AUUAAGUCCUAGUCCAGACCACAAUAGGGUAGUAAUGGCUUGCUUAAUUUGGCAGGUAACAUUAAGUAAACCUGUCCCUGGGAGAAACACACAGAGGAAGCAUGAAAGAAACAGUAACCCCAACAAGCCUGCUGCUAAGUUCAUGUUUGCCAUGUACUCUUCUUCAAAGCAGGGCAAUAAAGGGGAAAUGGCCACUCUGCCCUCCCUAGUUGUAGGUGGCAGUGGCUGCAAUAAAUAGGCCAAGUAAAGCUGUACUAUCUUCAGGUGGAAGGAAGACACACAGGCAGCAAGUUAACAGCAAUCCAUCACCUCAAGUUUUGGUGUAUAACUUAUCUAAACAUACUACUCACUCUGUUACCUUAAAACCUUUCAAAGCUGAUAGGAGGUUAUGGAGCUUCUCUCUUCCUUAUACACUGCUAGAGCCAGGGUCAACUCGCUACCAUCAGCAGCUCAGUACUCUUCUGUGACUGAUGCCACCUAAAGACACCCCAAGGAGGUCAUACUUGGCAUAGAAGUUAAAGAGCAGUUUUCAAAAGCCACGUGCAGUUAAACAGGUAGUACUUAGAUUUUAAUACCACAGUAUAAACACCAUACCACUUCUGCUCAACUCACAAAUGCACUGUCUUGAGACAGUGGUUCUGCUUUCCUCAGCAUUUUUCCUUUUGUCACAGCAUACUAUCCCACGUGUCAAAGAAAAAAAACGUACCCCACAGUGAAAUCAGUCCCAGUAACCAGAUGGGUACUGAUGUCACUUGCAACAGAGAGACCUUGACCCAUCCUAGUUUAGGAUUCCUUUUUUCUUCUACAUUCCCUUCUCCGUUUCACAAAAGCCUCCACUUAUCUGAGGUGCUUUUUCAGGGAGGGUAAGGAUUUACCUAUGCUCCACUCCUCAGGAAAUGGUGAAUCACUUGACUGAAGGAAAUGCUUUAUAAGCUAUUUUAUUUAAAUAUUUUCUCCAACCUGAAAUGGAAAAUGAGUGUCUUUGCUUGGAAGAAGAUUGUGUAAACAAUGAUCUUUGCAGCACAGCGAGUUCUCACAUGGAAGAUCUGUAUUAAGGCAGCCCUUAGAGUACUUUCAAAUAUCCAUUGGUAUGUCCCCUUUGGAUUGCUUUUCUCUGCUUUCAACCCAGGCCUUGUUGAUGGUGCGCUUCAUUUCAUCAUCUCCUUCUGCAUACAUCUUUUUUAAAAGGUUCAUAAGCCCUUCGCUAGGAUCUGAGGUGUCAUAGGCAGCCUUCUCUUUCUCUUUGCUUUCUUUUUCCACUUGAGUGAGACACUCCCAUUUUUCCUCUCGCUUCUUCUUACACAUCACAAGGACUGUGUCUGUCUUUAUCUGGAUGGAGAACAGCAAGAUGUGAAUUUAGAAUGCUAAUAAAGGAUGCUAGUCACAACCACAAUAAAUAAGAUGAACUUUCAUCUCUUUCUAUACUAAUUCCCAAAACAUUUCUUUGCUAUUGAUUUUUAGGUAAUGUACAGAAAUCCUAACAUGUAUUCAGCUUCACAGCACCAAGUGUUAACCUCACUGUGGUGGGAUUAAAUGGCAUGACUGAUAGAACACUAGUAUCAUACUACAGUACUAACUACUCUAUGGUACAGCAGAACAUACAGCGCUGUAGAAGCACCAGUCAGUCAUUUUAGGAUACUAAAAGCACACAGGACUGUCUGGUAAAUGGUGAUACCAAGUUUUGGAAGAAGCUCUCCCAGCUCAUUUCUCCAAGGACAAGAAACUGGUUUAAGGACAUUGCUUCAUCUCACAGUAUGUUUGCAAGUUAUAAGCAAAGCCUGUUUAAUUGCAACCCUGACCUAAAUUCCUCAAAACUGCUGUGUGCCAUGGCACACAAAAUUCUGCUGGAGCACUAGCUUAGCUCAGUGGAAUGACCACUGUUCUUUUUUCACACUCUAUUAAGAAAAUCACCUUUUUUUUGUUUCUUUGUUUGGUACACUAUUCUAGCUUUAGGACAACUUCAAACUGAACCAUCAUUUAGUUCAAUGGUGUAACAAGUAGCAAAGUAAGAACAGUAUUUCAGUUGCAGUCAUCAGCAGUGAAAAGCUGCUCCUGUUCAACCUAUCCCUACCAAAGCCAGAGCAAGUAUUGACAUUGUUUUGGGCAUUAUGCCUAUUUAAGCAACCCAAGACUUUGGUCUGCUGACAAGCCCCCAGUCCUUAGAACUGCAAAGGCUUUUAGAAUUGUUUAAAAGCAGAAGAAUGCAA
This 2207-nucleotide long non-coding RNA is filed under the name Gallus gallus (chicken). Lineage: Eukaryota; Metazoa; Chordata; Aves; Galliformes; Phasianidae. The record is from RNAcentral.